AUGAAAAUACUACAUUACAGUGUGGUAGAGAGCCUAAUUUGAACACAUGAAUUAAUGAGUGGAAUAAAAUGUUAAUGGAAAAUAAAAACUUUUAGGGAAUAACGUAAUUGUAUAAAGUGCCUUUUUAAGUACAGUUAUGGAGGGGGAUUAAAAUGUCAAAGUCAGAUAAAUAGAUAAUAUGAAAUAAACAGCAAAAAUGACAUGAUAAAAAUGAUAGUGUGCUUGUAGAAAUAAUUUAGAAGUUGUGAAAUGUUUCAAGUAAUUCAUGGUCACCAAGCCCACCAAAGCAGCACCUAAACAAUAUCUGAACCAUUUAUGUAAUAUCAUGGCAAAAAUAACAAUGCUAAAGA
Thalassophryne amazonica is the source of this 350-nucleotide long non-coding RNA. RefSeq lists it as uncharacterized. NCBI's taxonomy places the organism in Eukaryota, Metazoa, Chordata, Actinopteri, Batrachoidiformes, Batrachoididae. The record is from RefSeq and is a predicted model, not a curated record. The transcript is spliced from 4 exons.